This 698-nucleotide long non-coding RNA is filed under the name Androctonus crassicauda. Lineage: Eukaryota; Metazoa; Arthropoda; Arachnida; Scorpiones; Buthidae. The record is from RNAcentral.
ACCCUAAGGUCAGCUGAAAUCAAAUCAGAGCAAUUGAUAAGUCAGAAAUGCUCAAAAUUUAUGGUUAAGAUAAAAUAGACUGUAAUAAACUUAAUGAAAACAAAAAGACAUAAAAAAAAAGAUGCUUCUUAUAAAAUAUAUAUUUGAGAUCAUUGCUCAUGGAUUCAAACUUAUGUGAAUUGUGUUGACCAAUUAGAGAAUUUAAUGAUUUCAUUACCAUCAUAAAUAUGGCCAUAAACUGAAAACUACCUGUAGCUAUUUCUAUCACAUUAUUAAAAAAAAGUCAUACCAAAUGAAAGUUUAAUAUGAUCAUCUAUUAAUUUCUUCAGGUGGGUUGACACAAGGCACAAGUGAAUAAGCAAAUUCUAGUGAAUGCUUGUCUAUUUGUUAGUGUUCAUGAUUGGAACAUUUAUACCAUCUGUAAAGGUACUUAGAUGCCGGGCCACAUUUAUACUUUUGGAGGCCCAAGAUGCAAUAUCAUUAUGAGGCCCCAAAAUAACAAGUCUAUUUCAAUUUUGAAUUUAAUAUUUAAAAAUAAGUGCCAGGUACUUUAUUUUGCAACUAUAACUAGGCUGCUUUUUAUAUUGUUGUUUGCGAGGAGUAAGGUUUUAAAAUGUAGCCCCAUAGAGACUGAGGCUCCAGCUUGUGCCUAAUGUGCCUUAUGAUAAAUGCAGCCCUGCUUAAGUGGUAUAUCAGUG